Molecule: long non-coding RNA, 206 nt
Filed under: Capsicum annuum
Lineage: Eukaryota; Viridiplantae; Streptophyta; Magnoliopsida; Solanales; Solanaceae
Description: long non-coding RNA (CANN_LNC022505)
Source: RNAcentral
AUGCUGCAGGCACAGGUACCUCAGCUCAUUCACAGCAUAGAUAGGAGCCAGGUCAUACAGCUAUUGUUGGUGAGCUCCAGUUUGCUUCGAAGCUUUUCGAGUCGGUUCCUUAUGUUUUGUUAUUGUACAGGAGUCAUGUGUGGGCGGGGGGUUUAUCCCGACCCUAGUUAUGUCAUGUAUAUCCUAGAGGCUUUGUAGACAUAAGG